RNAcentral lists this ribosomal RNA (465 nucleotides) under uncultured bacterium. RNAcentral describes it as "partial 16S ribosomal RNA". It matches the Rfam family "Bacterial small subunit ribosomal RNA", at positions 28 to 507 of the family's 1533-position model. The record is from RNAcentral.
GACGAACGCUGGCGGCGUGCUUAACACAUGCAAGUCGAACGGAAAGGCCCUGCUUGCAGGGUACUCGAGUGGCGAACGGGUGAGUAACACGUGGGUGAUCUGCCCUGCACUUCGGGAUAAGCCUGGGAAACUGGGUCUAAUACCGGAUAGGAGCCAUUUUUAGUGUGAUGGUUGGAAAGUUUUUUCGGUGUAGGAUGAGCUCGCGGCCUAUCAGCUUGUUGGUGGGGUAAUGGCCUACCAAGGCGGCGACGGGUAGCCGGCCUGAGAGGGUGGACGGCUACAUUGGGACUGAGAUACGGCCCAGACUCCUACGGGAGGCAGCAGUGGGGAAUAUUGCACAAUGGGCGCAAGCCUGAUGCAGCGACGCCGCGUGGGGGAUGACGGCCUUCGGGUUGUAAACUCCUUUCGCUAGGGACGAAGCUUUUUGUGACGGUACCUAGAGAAGAAGCACCGGCUAACUACGUG